RNAcentral lists this non-coding RNA (77 nucleotides) under Vibrio owensii. RNAcentral describes it as "c-di-GMP-I". It matches the Rfam family "c-di-GMP-I riboswitch aptamer". From Rfam's summary of the family: GEMM was predicted in a large-scale screen for bacterial structured RNA regulatory elements. Genes associated with GEMM are involved in a diverse array of functions, including chemotaxis regulation, signal transduction, secretion and chitin. The record is from RNAcentral. Lineage: Bacteria; Pseudomonadati; Pseudomonadota; Gammaproteobacteria; Vibrionales; Vibrionaceae.
ACUCAUUAAGGGCAAACCAAUCGUGAGGUUGGGACGCAAAGUGACAGCACAGGGAUACUGUGGGCUGCAUUGCUGAG